GGGCGCGUAGCUCAGCGGGAGAGCACACCCUUGACAUGGGUGGGGUCGCAGGUUCAAUCCCUGCCGCGCCCACCA
RNAcentral lists this transfer RNA (75 nucleotides) under Alphaproteobacteria bacterium. Its description in RNAcentral is "tRNA-Val". It matches the Rfam family "tRNA". From Rfam's summary of the family: Transfer RNA (tRNA) molecules are approximately 80 nucleotides in length. Their secondary structure includes four short double-helical elements and three loops (D, anti-codon, and T loops). The record is from RNAcentral. Lineage: Bacteria; Pseudomonadati; Pseudomonadota; Alphaproteobacteria.